AACGAACGUUAGCGGCGCGCUUAACACAUGCAAGUCGCACGAGAAAGGGAGCAAUCCCCGGUACAGUGGCGCACGGGUGAGUAACACGUAGGUAAUCUUCCCUCGAGUGGUGGAUAACCUUCCGAAAGGGAGGCUAAUACAGCAUAAGACCACGGGAGCGAAAGCUUCUGAGGUCAAAGUCGGCCUCUAUACAUAAGCUGGCGCUUGAGGAUGAGCCUGCGGCCCAUCAGCUAGUUGGUAGGGUAAUGGCCUACCAAGGCGAAGACGGGUAGCUGGUCUGAGAGGAUGAUCAGCCACACUGGAACUGAGACACGGUCCAGACUCCUACGGGAGGCAGCAGUGGGGAAUCUUGCGCAAUGGGCGAAAGCCUGACGCAGCGACGCCGCGUGAGUGAUGAAGGCCUCGG
RNAcentral lists this ribosomal RNA (406 nucleotides) under uncultured bacterium. RNAcentral describes it as "bacterial SSU rRNA". It matches the Rfam family "Bacterial small subunit ribosomal RNA", at positions 29 to 420 of the family's 1533-position model. The record is from RNAcentral.